This 484-nucleotide ribosomal RNA is filed under the name uncultured bacterium. RNAcentral's name for it is "partial 16S ribosomal RNA". It matches the Rfam family "Bacterial small subunit ribosomal RNA", at positions 30 to 507 of the family's 1533-position model. The record is from RNAcentral.
AUUGAACGCUGGCGGCAGGCCUAACACAUGCAAGUCGAGCGGAUGAAGGGAGCUUGCUCCUGGAUUCAGCGGCGGACGGGUGAGUAAUGCCUAGGAAUCUGCCUGGUAGUGGGGGAUAACGUCCGGAAACGGGCGCUAAUACCGCAUACGUCCUGAGGGAGAAAGUGGGGGAUCUUCUGACCUCACGCUAUCAGAUGAGCCUAGGUCGGAUUAGCUAGUUGGUGGGGUAAAGGCCUACCAAGGCGACGAUCCGUAACUGGUCUGAGAGGAUGAUCAGUCACACUGGAACUGAGACACGGCCCAGACUCCUACGGGAGGCAGCAGUGGGGAAUAUUGGACAAUGGGCGAAAGCCUGAUCCAGCCAUGCCGCGUGUGUGAAGAAGGUCUUCGGAUUGUAAAGCACUUUAAGUUGGGAGGAAGGGCAGUAAGUUAAUACCUUGCUGUUUUGACGUUACCAACAGAAUAAGCACCGGCUAACUUCGUG